UGGGGGAUAUUGCACAAUGGGCGAAAGCCUGAUGCAGCGACGCCGCGUGGGGGAUGAAGGCUUUCGGGUUGUAAACCUCUUUCGCUAUCGAACAAGGCCCGCUUAGGGUGGGUUGAGGGUAGGUGGAGAAGAAGCGCCGGCUAACUACGUGCCAGCAGCCGCGGUAAUACGUAGGGCGCGAGCGUUGUCCGGAAUUAUUGGGCGUAAAGGGCUUGUAGGCGGCUUGUUGCGCCUGCUGUGAAAACGCGGGGCUUAACUUCGCGCGUGCAGUGGGUACGGGCAGGCGUGAGUGUGGUAGGGGUGACUGGAAUUCCAGGUGUAGCGGUGGAAUGCGCAGAUAUCUGGAGGAGCACCGAUGGAGAAGGCAGGUCACUGGGCCAUUACUGACGCUGAGGAGCGAAAGCAUGGGUAGCGAACAGG
RNAcentral lists this ribosomal RNA (420 nucleotides) under bacterium. RNAcentral describes it as "partial 16S ribosomal RNA". It matches the Rfam family "Bacterial small subunit ribosomal RNA", at positions 355 to 776 of the family's 1533-position model. The record is from RNAcentral.